RNAcentral lists this ribosomal RNA (500 nucleotides) under uncultured bacterium. Its description in RNAcentral is "partial 16S ribosomal RNA". It matches the Rfam family "Bacterial small subunit ribosomal RNA", at positions 30 to 523 of the family's 1533-position model. The record is from RNAcentral.
AUUGAACGCUGGCGGCAUGCUUUACACAUGCAAGUCGAACGGUAACAGGGUGCUUGCACCGCUGACGAGUGGCGAACGGGUGAGUAAUGCGUCGGAACGCACCGAGUAAUGGGGGAUAACGCAGCGAAAGCUGUGCUAAUACCGCAUACGCUCUGAGGAGGAAAGCGGGGGACCUUCGGGCCUCGCGUUAUUCGAGCGGCCGACGUCUGAUUAGCUAGUAGGUGAGGUAAGAGCUCACCUAGGCGACGAUCAGUAGCGGGUCUGAGAGGAUGAUCCGCCACACUGGGACUGAGAAACGGCUCAGACUCCUACGGGAGGCAGCAGUGGGGAAUUUUGGACAAUGGGCGCAAGCCUGAUCCAGCCAUGCCGCGUGUCUGAAGAAGGCCUUCGGGUUGUAAAGGACUUUUGUCAGGGAGGAAAUCCUUAGCGCUAAUACCGUUGAGGGAUGACAGUACCUGAAGAAUAAGCACCGGCUAACUACGUGCCAGCCGCCGCCGUAA